RNAcentral lists this ribosomal RNA (1725 nucleotides) under Campylobacter upsaliensis. RNAcentral describes it as "partial 23S ribosomal RNA". It matches the Rfam family "Bacterial large subunit ribosomal RNA", at positions 1199 to 2925 of the family's 2925-position model. Lineage: Bacteria; Pseudomonadati; Campylobacterota; Epsilonproteobacteria; Campylobacterales; Campylobacteraceae. The record is from RNAcentral.
GCUUUAGGCUUGAUUUAUCAAGCGGUAGGAGAGCGUUCUAUUUGCGUCGAAGGUAUACCGACAAGGAGUGCUGGAGCGAAUAGAAGUGAGCAUGCAGGCAUGAGUAGCGAUAAUUAAUGUGAGAAUCAUUAACGCCGUAAACCCAAGGUUUCCUACGCGAUGCUCGUCAUCGUAGGGUUAGUCGGGUCCUAAGCUGAGUCCGAAAGGGGUAAGCGAUGGCAAAUAGGUUAAUAUUCCUAUACCAACAUUAGUGUGCGAUGGAAGGACGCUUAGGGCUAAGGGGGCUAGCGGAUGGAAGUGCUAGUCUAAGGUCGUAGGAGGUUAUACAGGCAAAUCCGUAUAACAAUACUCCGAGAACUGAAAGGCUUUUUGAAGUCUUCGGAUGGAAAGAAGAACCCCUGAUGCCGUCGAGCCAAGAAAAGUUUCUAAGUUUAGCUAAUGUUGCCCGUACCGUAAACCGACACAGGUGGGUGGGAUGAGUAUUCUAAGGCGCGUGGAAGAACUCUCUUUAAGGAACUCUGCAAAAUAGCACCGUAUCUUCGGUAUAAGGUGUGCCUCCCUUUGUAUUAGAAUUCACUUCGAAAGCAAAGAAGGUUACAACAAAGAGUCCCUCCCGACUGUUUACCAAAAACACAGCACUCUGCUAACUCGUAAGAGGAUGUAUAGGGUGUGACGCCUGCCCGGUGCUCGAAGGUUAAUUGAUGGGGUUAGCAUUAGCGAAGCUCUUGAUCGAAGCCCGAGUAAACGGCGGCCGUAACUAUAACGGUCCUAAGGUAGCGAAAUUCCUUGUCGGUUAAAUACCGACCUGCAUGAAUGGCGUAACGAGAUGGGAGCUGUCUCAAAGAGGGAUCCAGUGAAAUUGUAGUGGAGGUGAAAAUUCCUCCUACCCGCGGCAAGACGGAAAGACCCCGUGGACCUUUACUACAGCUUGACACUGCUAUUUGGAUAAGAAUGUGCAGGAUAGGUGGGAGGCUUUGAGUAUAUGACGCCAGUUGUAUAUGAGCCAUUGUUGAGAUACCACUCUUUCUUAUUUGGGUAGCUAACCAGCUUGAGUUAUCCUCAAGUGGGACAAUGUCUGGUGGGUAGUUUGACUGGGGCGGUCGCCUCCCAAAUAAUAACGGAGGCUUACAAAGGUUGGCUCAUAGCGGUUGGAAAUCGCUAGUAGAGUAUAAAGGUAUAAGCCAGCUUAACUGCAAGACAUACAAGUCAAGCAGAGACGAAAGUCGGUCUUAGUGAUCCGGUGGUUCUGUGUGGAAGGGCCAUCGCUCAAAGGAUAAAAGGUACCCCGGGGAUAACAGGCUGAUCUCCCCCAAGAGCUCACAUCGACGGGGAGGUUUGGCACCUCGAUGUCGGCUCAUCGCAUCCUGGGGCUGGAGCAGGUCCCAAGGGUAUGGCUGUUCGCCAUUUAAAGCGGUACGCGAGCUGGGUUCAGAACGUCGUGAGACAGUUCGGUCCCUAUCUGCCGUGGGCGUAAGAAGAUUGAAGAGAUUUGACCCUAGUACGAGAGGACCGGGUUGAACAAACCACUGGUGUAGCUGUUGUUCUGCCAAGAGCAUCGCAGCGUAGCUAAGUUUGGAAAGGAUAAACGCUGAAAGCAUCUAAGCGUGAAGCCAACUCUAAGAUGAAUCUUCUCUAAGCUCUCUAGAAGACUACUAGUUUGAUAGGCUGGGUGUGUAAUGGAUGAAAGUCCUUUAGCUGACCAGUACUAAUAGAGCGUUUGGCUUA